AUUUCUAAAUCGCUGAAACCAUCAGGUACGGGGGAACCAUUUUUUGUGGAUUGUUUCAUAAUCCGAGGGGUGAAUCCUUUUUAGGUAGGGCUACUCAAAGGCCCGAAUCCGACAGCUAACCUCGUAAGCGUUAUAUUGAGAAGGA
Molecule: small RNA, 145 nt
Filed under: Domibacillus aminovorans
Lineage: Bacteria; Bacillati; Bacillota; Bacilli; Caryophanales; Bacillaceae
Description: Bacillus aminovorans c-di-AMP sequence
Rfam family: c-di-AMP riboswitch aptamer (ydaO/yuaA leader)
About the family: This family represents a conserved RNA structure found upstream of the ydaO and yuaA genes in Bacillus subtilis and related genes in other bacteria. The ydaO/yuaA element is thought to act as a genetic "off" switch for the ydaO and yuaA genes in its native state. It is believed that the element may be triggered during osmotic shock leading to activation of ydaO, a predicted amino acid transporter gene, and members of the yuaA-yubG operon which code for KtrA and KtrB K+ transporters.
Source: RNAcentral